UACGUAGGGAGCGAGCGUUGUCCGGAAUUACUGGGUGUUAAGGGAGCGUAGGCGGGCGAGAAAGUUGAAUGUUAAAUCUACCGGCUUAACUGGUAGCUGCGUUCAAAACUUCUUGUCUUGAGUGAAGUAGAGGCAGGCGGAAUUCCUAGUGUAGCGGUGAAAUGCGUAGAUAUUAGGAGGAACACCAGUGGCGAAGGCGGCCUGCUGGGCUUUAACUGACGCUGAGGCUCGAAAGCGUGGGGAGCAAACAGG
This 252-nucleotide ribosomal RNA is filed under the name uncultured bacterium. Its description in RNAcentral is "partial 16S ribosomal RNA". It matches the Rfam family "Bacterial small subunit ribosomal RNA", at positions 524 to 776 of the family's 1533-position model. The record is from RNAcentral.